GUCUACGGCCAUGCUACCCUGAACAAGCCAGAUCCCGUCUGAUCUCGAAAGCUAAGCAGGGUCUGGCCUGGUUAGUACUUGGAUGGGAGACCACCAAGGAAGACCAGGUGCUGUAGGCA
RNAcentral lists this ribosomal RNA (119 nucleotides) under Pteropus alecto (black flying fox). RNAcentral also lists the same sequence under 1 other name. The record is from RNAcentral. Lineage: Eukaryota; Metazoa; Chordata; Mammalia; Chiroptera; Pteropodidae.